This 2835-nucleotide ribosomal RNA is filed under the name Paenibacillus sp. OSY-SE. RNAcentral's name for it is "bacterial LSU rRNA". It matches the Rfam family "Bacterial large subunit ribosomal RNA". The record is from RNAcentral. Lineage: Bacteria; Bacillati; Bacillota; Bacilli; Caryophanales; Paenibacillaceae.
AGAGCACACGGAGGAUGCCUAGGCACCAGGAGCCGACGAAGGACGUGGCGAACAACGAAAUGCCUCGGGGAGCUGUAAGCAAGCAUCGAUCCGGGGAUGUCCGAAUGGGGAAACCCGGCUGUCGUAAUAGGCAGUCACUCACAUCUGAAUACAUAGGGUGUGAUGAGGCAUACGAGGGGAACUGAAACAUCUAAGUACCCUCAGGAAGAGAAAACAAUAGUGAUUCCGUCAGUAGCGGCGAGCGAACGCGGAAUAGCCUAAACCGAAGAGCUUGCUCUUCGGGGUUGUGGGACGUCUCACUAGGAGUAAGAAAGGUGUUUAUUAGAUGAAGAGGUCUGGAAAGGCCCGCCAUAGAAGGUAACAGCCCUGUAUUCGAAAGUGAAUGCCCUCCGAGACGGAUCCCCGAGUACCGCGGGACACGUGAAACCCCGUGGGAAUCUGGCAGGACCAUCUGCUAAGGCUAAAUACUCCCUGGUGACCGAUAGUGAAGCAGUACCGUGAGGGAAAGGUGAAAAGCACCCCGGAAGGGGAGUGAAAUAGAACCUGAAACCGUGUGCUUACAAGAAGUCAGAGCCCGUUAAAUGGGUGAUGGCGUGCCUUUUGUAGAAUGAACCGGCGAGUUACGUUUACGUGCAAGGUUAAGGUGAAGAGCCGCAGCCGCAGCGAAAGCGAGUCUGAAUAGGGCGAGUGAGUACGUAGUCGUAGACCCGAAACCGUGUGAUCUACCCCUGUCCAGGGUGAAGGUGCGGUAACACGCACUGGAGGCCCGAACCCACGUACGUUGAAAAGUGCGGGGAUGAGGUGGGGGUAGCGGAGAAAUUCCAAUCGAACUCGGAGAUAGCUGGUUCUCCCCGAAAUAGCUUUAGGGCUAGCCUCGGAGUCAAGAGUCGUGGAGGUAGAGCACUGAUUGGAUGCGGGGCCCGCCAAGGGUUACCAAGUUCAGUCAAACUCCGAAUGCCAUCGACUUAUAUCCGGGAGUCAGACAGUGGGUGCUAAGGUCCAUUGUCAAGAGGGAAACAGCCCAGACCAUCAGCUAAGGCCCCUAAGUAUACGUUAAGUGGGAAAGGAUGUGGAGUUGCACAGACAACCAGGAUGUUGGCUUAGAAGCAGCCAUCAUUUAAAGAGUGCGUAAUAGCUCACUGGUCGAGUGACUCUGCGCCGAAAAUGUAACGGGGCUAAACGUAUCGCCGAAGCUAUGGCUUGCAUCGUAAGAUGCAUGGGUAGGGGAGCGUUGUGUAUCGGGUUGAAGGUAGACCGGAAGGACUGCUGGACUAUACACAAGUGAGAAUGCCGGUAUGAGUAACGAAAAGACAUGUGAGAAUCAUGUCCGCCGAAAGCCUAAGGGUUCCUGGGGAAGGCUCGUCCGCCCAGGGUAAGUCGGGACCUAAGGCGAGGCCGAAAGGCGUAGUCGAAGGACAACAGGUUGAAAUUCCUGUACCACCGUAAGCCGUUAUGAGCAAUGGGGGGACGCAGAAGGAUAGGGACGCGAGCUGAUGGAUGCUCGUCCAAGCAGUGAGGCCGGUCAGUAGGCAAAUCCGCUGACCAUGAGGCUGGGCUGUGAUGGGGAGGGAAAUUUAUAGUACCGAAGGUCUUGAUUUCAUGCUGCCAAGAAAAGCCUCUAGCCAGGAUGAAGGUGCCCGUACCGCAAACCGACACAGGUAGGCGAGAAGAGAAUUCUAAGGCGCGCGGAAGAACUCUCGUUAAGGAACUCGGCAAAAUGACCCCGUAACUUCGGGAGAAGGGGUGCCUCGGUAGGGUGAAUAGCCCGAGGGGGCCGCAGUGAAAAGGCCCAAGCGACUGUUUAGCAAAAACACAGGUCUGUGCGAAGCCGCAAGGCGAAGUAUACGGGCUGACGCCUGCCCGGUGCUGGAAGGUUAAGGGGAGUGGUUAGCCGCAAGGCGAAGCUAUGAACCGAAGCCCCAGUAAACGGCGGCCGUAACUAUAACGGUCCUAAGGUAGCGAAAUUCCUUGUCAGGUAAAUUCUGACCCGCACGAAUGGCGUAACGACUUGGGCGCUGUCUCAACGAGAGAUCCGGUGAAAUUUUAAUACCUGUGAAGAUGCAGGUUACCCGCGACAAGACGGAAAGACCCCAUGGAGCUUUACUGCAGCUUGAUAUUGAACUUUGGUACGGUCUGUACAGGAUAGGUGGGAGCCUGCGAAGCCGGUGCGCCAGCAUCGGUGGAGGCAUCGUUGGGAUACCACCCUGAUCGUAUCGGAGUUCUAACCUAGGACCGUGAUCCGGUUCGGGGACAGUGUCAGGUGGGCAGUUUGACUGGGGCGGUCGCCUCCUAAAGAGUAACGGAGGCGCCCCAAGGUUCCCUCAGAAUGGUUGGAAAUCAUUCGAAGAGUGCAAAGGCAGAAGGGAGCUUGACUGCGAGACCUACAAGUCGAGCAGGGACGAAAGUCGGGCUUAGUGAUCCGGUGGUACCGCAUGGAAGGGCCAUCGCUCAACGGAUAAAAGCUACCCUGGGGAUAACAGGCUUAUCUCCCCCAAGAGUCCACAUCGACGGGGAGGUUUGGCACCUCGAUGUCGGCUCAUCGCAUCCUGGGGCUGAAGUAGGUCCCAAGGGUUGGGCUGUUCGCCCAUUAAAGCGGUACGCGAGCUGGGUUCAGAACGUCGUGAGACAGUUCGGUCCCUAUCUGUCGCGGGCGUAGGAAAUUUGAGAGGAGCUGUCCUUAGUACGAGAGGACCGGGAUGGACGUACCGCUGGUGUACCAGUUGUCUCGCCAGAGGCAUGGCUGGGUAGCUACGUACGGAAGGGAUAAGCGCUGAAAGCAUCUAAGCGUGAAGCCCCCCUCAAGAUGAGAUUUCCCAAUUUAGUAAGACCCCUUGA